Molecule: ribosomal RNA, 562 nt
Filed under: uncultured bacterium
Lineage: Bacteria
Description: partial 16S ribosomal RNA
Rfam family: Bacterial small subunit ribosomal RNA
Source: RNAcentral
UGGGGAAUAUUGCACAAUGGGCGCAAGCCUGAUGCAGCAACGCCGCGUGAGGGAUGACGGCCUUCGGGUUGUAAACCUCUUUUAGUAGGGAAGAAGCGAAAGUGACGGUACCUGCAGAAAAAGCACCGGCUAACUACGUGCCAGCAGCCGCGGUAAUACGUAGGGUGCGAGCGUUGUCCGGAAUUAUUGGGCGUAAAGAGCUCGUAGGCGGUCUGUCGCGUCUGCUGUGAAAACCCGAGGCUCAACCUCGGGCCUGCAGUGGGUACGGGCAGACUAGAGUGCGGUAGGGGAGAAUGGAAUUCCUGGUGUAGCGGUGGAAUGCGCAGAUAUCAGGAGGAACACCGAUGGCGAAGGCAGUUCUCUGGGCCGUAACUGACGCUGAGGAGCGAAAGCGUGGGGAGCGAACAGGAUUAGAUACCCUGGUAGUCCACGCCGUAAACGUUGGGCGCUAGAUGUGGGGACCAUUCCACGGUUUCCGUGUCGCAGCUAACGCAUUAAGCGCCCCGCCUGGGGAGUACGGCCGCAAGGCUAAAACUCAAAUGAAUUGACGGGGUCAUAGCUG